Molecule: ribosomal RNA, 464 nt
Filed under: uncultured bacterium
Lineage: Bacteria
Description: partial 16S ribosomal RNA
Rfam family: Bacterial small subunit ribosomal RNA
Source: RNAcentral
GACGAACGCUGGCGGCGUGCUUAACACAUGCAAGUCGAACGGAAAGGCCCUGCUUGCAGGGUACUCGAGUGGCGAACGGGUGAGUAACACGUGGGUGAUCUGCCCUGCACUUCGGGAUAAGCCCGGGAAACUGGGUCUAAUACCGGAUAGGAGCCAUUUUUAGUGUGAUGGUUGGAAAGUUUUUUCGGUGUAGGAUGAGCUCGCGGCCUAUCAGCUUGUUGGUGGGGUAAUGGCCUACCAAGGCGGCGACGGGUAGCCGGCCUGAGAGGGUGGACGGCCACAUUGGGACUGAGAUACGGCCCAGACUCCUACGGGAGGCAGCAGUGGGGAAUAUUGCACAAUGGGCGCAAGCCUGAUGCAGCGACGCCGCGUGGGGGAUGACGGCCUUCGGGUUGUAAACUCCUUUCGCUAGGGACGAAGCUUUUUGUGACGGUACCUAGAUAAGAAGCACCGGCUAACUACGU